UCUCUUCUCCUUUUGUGUCCGGAC
RNAcentral lists this non-coding RNA (24 nucleotides) under Arabidopsis thaliana (thale cress). Lineage: Eukaryota; Viridiplantae; Streptophyta; Magnoliopsida; Brassicales; Brassicaceae. The record is from RNAcentral.